This 282-nucleotide ribosomal RNA is filed under the name uncultured bacterium. RNAcentral's name for it is "partial 16S ribosomal RNA". It matches the Rfam family "Bacterial small subunit ribosomal RNA", at positions 30 to 310 of the family's 1533-position model. The record is from RNAcentral.
AUUGAACGCUGGCGGCAUGCCUUACACAUGCAAGUCGAACGGCAGCACGGGAGCAAUCCUGGUGGCGAGUGGCGAACGGGUGAGUAAUAUAAUCGGAACGUGCCCGGUCGUGGGGGAUAACGUAGCGAAAGCUACGCUAAUACCGCAUACGAUCUACGGAUGAAAGCGGGGGAUCGCAAGACCUCGCGCGAUUGGAGCGGCCGAUAUCAGAUUAGGUAGUUGGUGAGGUAAAGGCUCACCAAAGCCGACGAUCUGUAGCUGGUCUGAGAGGACGACCAGCCA